UCGACGCACAGCGAAAGGUGCUUGCACCUUUCAAGUGAGUGGCGAACGGGUGAGUAACACGUGGACAACCUGCCUCAAGGCUGGGGAUAACAUUUGGAAACAGAUGCUAAUACCGAAUAAAACUUAGUGUCGCAUGACACAAAGUUAAAAGGCGCUUCGGCGUCACCUAGAGAUGGAUCCGCGGUGCAUUAGUUAGUUGGUGGGGUAAAGGCCUACCAAGACAAUGAUGCAUAGCCGAGUUGAGAGACUGAUCGGCCACAUUGGGACUGAGACACGGCCCAAACUCCUACGGGAGGCUGCAGUAGGGAAUCUUCCACAAUGGGCGAAAGCCUGAUGGAGCAACGCCGCGUGUGUGAUGAAGGCUUUCGGGUCGUAAAGCACUGUUGUAUGGGAAGAACAGCUAGAAUAGGAAAUGAUUUUAGUUUGACGGUACCAUACCAGAAAGGGACGGCUAAAUACGUGCCAGCAGCCGCGGUAAUACGUAUGUCCCGAGCGUUAUCCGGAUUUAUUGGGCGUAAAGCGAGCGCAGACGGUUUAUUAAGUCUGAUGUGAAAGCCCGGAGCUCAACUCCGGAAUGGCAUUGGAAACUGGUUAACUUGAGUGCAGUAGAGGUAAGUGGAACUCCAUGUGUAGCGGUGGAAUGCGUAGAUAUAUGGAAGAACACCAGUGGCGAAGGCGGCUUACUGGACUGCAACUGACGUUGAGGCUCGAAAGUGUGGGUAGCAAACAGGAUUAGAUACCCUGGUAGUCCACACCGUAAACGAUGAACACUAGGUGUUAGGAGGUUUCCGCCUCUUAGUGCCGAAGCUAACGCAUUAAGUGUUCCGCCUGGGGAGUACGACCGCAAGGUUGAAACUCAAAGGAAUU
Molecule: ribosomal RNA, 867 nt
Filed under: Leuconostoc mesenteroides
Lineage: Bacteria; Bacillati; Bacillota; Bacilli; Lactobacillales; Lactobacillaceae
Description: bacterial SSU rRNA
Rfam family: Bacterial small subunit ribosomal RNA
Source: RNAcentral